RNAcentral lists this ribosomal RNA (483 nucleotides) under uncultured bacterium. RNAcentral's name for it is "partial 16S ribosomal RNA". It matches the Rfam family "Bacterial small subunit ribosomal RNA", at positions 29 to 507 of the family's 1533-position model. The record is from RNAcentral.
AUUGAACGCUGGCGGAAUGCUUUACACAUGCAAGUCGAACGGCAGCACGGGGGCAGCCCUGGUGGCGAGUGGCGAACGGGUGAGUAAUACAUCGGAACGUGCCCGGUCGUGGGGAUAACGUAGCGAAAGUUACGCUAAUACCGCAUACGAUCUGAGGAUGAAAGCGGGGGACCUUCGGGCCUCGCGCGAUCGGAGCGGCCGAUGUCGGAUUAGGUAGUUGGUGGGGUAAAGGCCUACCAAGCCGACGAUCUGUAGCUGGUCUGAGAGGACGACCAGCCACACUGGGACUGAGACACGGCCCAGACUCCUACGGGAGGCAGCAGUGGGGAAUUUUGGACAAUGGGCGCAAGCCUGAUCCAGCCAUGCCGCGUGCAGGACGAAGGCCUUCGGGUUGUAAACUGCUUUUGUACGGAACGAAAAGGCUCUGGCUAAUACCUGGGGCUCAUGACGGUACCGUAAGAAUAAGCACCGGCUAACUACGUG